ACAGGUGCUGCAUGGCUGCGUCAGCUCGUGUCGUGAGAUGUUGGGUUAAGUCCGUAACGAGCGCAACCCUUGUCCUUAGUUACCAGCACGUUAUGGUGGGCACUCUAAGGAGGACUGCCGGUGACAAACCGGAGGAAGGUGGGGAUGACGUCAAGUCAUCAUGGCCCUUACGGCCUGAGCUACACACGUGCUACAAUGGUCGGUACAAAGGGUUGCCAAGCCGCGAGGUGGAGCUAAUCCCAUAAAACCGAUCGUAGUCCGGAUCGCAGUCUGUAACUCGACUGCGUGAAGUCGGAAUCGCUAGUAAUCGUGAAUCAGAGUGUCACGGUGAAUACGUUCCCGGGCCUU
RNAcentral lists this ribosomal RNA (348 nucleotides) under uncultured Pseudomonas sp. Its description in RNAcentral is "bacterial SSU rRNA". It matches the Rfam family "Bacterial small subunit ribosomal RNA", at positions 1034 to 1382 of the family's 1533-position model. Lineage: Bacteria; Pseudomonadati; Pseudomonadota; Gammaproteobacteria; Pseudomonadales; Pseudomonadaceae. The record is from RNAcentral.